This 685-nucleotide long non-coding RNA is filed under the name Rosa chinensis. RNAcentral describes it as "sRNA RchiOBHm_Chr2g0128931". The record is from RNAcentral. Lineage: Eukaryota; Viridiplantae; Streptophyta; Magnoliopsida; Rosales; Rosaceae.
UUAGUCCCAUCAUACUAAGAGAAUACUGGAGGUGGAAUCAGGAGAAGACAAAGUUGAAUGGUUCAAGUGCAUCGUAAAUCAGGAGGGAUAUGAAGUUUCAGUCCUAUAUUAGGAUGCAACCAGUAUAUCACUCCUAAAUAUUUCAUCCAUAUAUUAGGAUAGAUAUGUUUCUGCAAUCCUAAUAUACUAUGCGUUUACUAUUGCAAUCCUAAAUAAAGUUUACGUAUAUAACAUUGUUUACAUGUGCUCUUACUGAGAUAGAUUUACAGCAUUAGACUAGUGUAGUUCUAACAAUUGGUAUCAGAGCCAUCUAUGCUUAGAUGAGUUACAUGUUAUUGCUACUUCAACAAAUUUAUUUUGAAACGAUUUCUGGGAAUUUUGUUGUAAUCCGCAUACAGUUAUCUACAUAUAUAAUUCAUGUCUGAUAAAUAGUGAUUGAUGUAUAUGCUUGUUUCAAGUUAUGAUAUUUGAUUCAUUGAGAAAUUCAUCAUGUUGUGUGCUGCCAAAGUGGUCCCAUGAAUGAACAUUCCAAAGGAUCUAAUAUGCUGAUGAAAUAUCUAGUAUGAAUUCAAUUAUAUGUUGCAUAAUAAAGUGCUGUCAAAAUGGCCAAUAUAUAGCAAUUACAUUGUAUUCAGUUUCAUCAGAAUGAGAUUAUGAGACUUAAAAUUAAAUUUGAGUAUGAUUU